Gadus morhua (Atlantic cod) is the source of this 517-nucleotide long non-coding RNA. RefSeq lists it as uncharacterized. Lineage: Eukaryota; Metazoa; Chordata; Actinopteri; Gadiformes; Gadidae. The transcript is spliced from 3 exons. The record is from RefSeq and is a predicted model, not a curated record.
GAAGCCACGUAAGCGAUGGAAGACCUAAGAAGGAUCCGUACGGGAUUUGUGGGGAAAGUCGGACUCCCAGCUUUGAAAGGUCUGCUGGAUGACCUUUGGCAGCGCAAAAUGUUGAGUACCGAAGACAAGGAUACUGUGUUGGAGGACCAUACGAGCAGAGCGGACAGGGCUCGGUGUCUGAUCGACAUGGUGAUGGGGAAAGGGGAGAGAGCAAGUCUGGCGAUGAUUGAGUGUAUGUUGGAGAGGGACCGGGAACUAUACCUCACUCUGGGUCUGAUCCUUCCUCCCAGCCCUACUGAUCGUGUGGAUCUGACCUGAGGAGAAUAAAUGGUGGCUUCAGUCUUGAGGAAUGACGAAAGAAUUUUUAAAUGCUAUUAAUUCACAACAUUGUAUUCACUAAAUUGGUUUUAUUUCAAACGUUAGUUGUGAGACAUAUAUAUUCCCCUGUAAUGUGAGUUCAAAUGUCCUUGAUAAGAGACAUGAAAUAAAAUAUAGAAAUAAAACAUUUUAUAAAUCU